RNAcentral lists this unclassified non-coding RNA (203 nucleotides) under Hevea brasiliensis (rubber tree). The record is from RNAcentral. Lineage: Eukaryota; Viridiplantae; Streptophyta; Magnoliopsida; Malpighiales; Euphorbiaceae.
GUGGGAAUCUAUGGAUUUUGGAGCUCUAAAUGAAGAAAAAUGGUGGAAGGAGAGAUGGAGGGAGGUUUGGCCAACAUAGAUUAGAAGAAGAAGAUGAAAUUCUAUGAUAAGAAUGUAUUUAUUAAAUUUGUCUUAUAUAUAUGUGUGUGUCUAAAUUUUAUUUGUUUUAGUUUUAAUUCUAAUUAAUAUAAUUAUAACAUUUU